UGUAAUCACAAUUAAAAGUGGCAUAUAUGGAUUGGAGUUUCUAGAGCUCAAGAAAUAUACGAAACACUAGAUUUUAACCCGCGGUACACCGCGGAACUAUUUAUUUUAUUAAA
RNAcentral lists this small RNA (113 nucleotides) under Arabidopsis thaliana (thale cress). RNAcentral describes it as "ATSL103570". Lineage: Eukaryota; Viridiplantae; Streptophyta; Magnoliopsida; Brassicales; Brassicaceae. The record is from RNAcentral.